GUUAAAUAUGGGACAAAGAAAAAUGCUUCAAACAUGUAACACUCAUAGUAUAUUUGUAUAUAUAAUAGACAUAUUACUAUCCACAUGAUAUUUAUUAUUUAAUAUUUUAUAAUAAAUAUUUAAUUCGUGCAUCCUAAAAACUUAAUUUAUUUAUAUAUGUCCAUUGAAAAAAAUUCCUAACUGAACCGCUACAAGCCAUCAUAAGAAUUAAAACAAGACAGGUUGCCGUAUCCUUCAUAAUAGCCCUUUAUAGUUAUCUUAACGGAAGAAUUUCCAUUCAAAAUUGAAACCUUGGAUACUAAUAAGAAAAUCAUCUAAGAGGCGCACCUUCAUCGAUUUCAAAAUCAAAGACUCGUUCCUCGCCGAGGCGGAUAUCCUGUUGGCAGUCGCCGGAGACAGGAUAUCGGCCUCGGCGAGGAACCGGUCUUUGAUUUCGAAAUCGAUGCAGGUGCGCCUCUUAGAUGAUUCUCUUAUUAGUAUCCAGGGUUUCAAUUUUGAAUGGAAAUUCUUCCGUUAAGAUAACUAUAUAAAGGCUAUUAUGAAGGAUACGGGCAACCUGUGUAGUUUUAAUUCUUCUGAUGGCUUGUAACGGUUCAGUUAGGAAUUUUUUUCAACGGACAUAUAUAAAUAAAUUAAGUUUUUAGGAUGCA
Molecule: long non-coding RNA, 650 nt
Organism: Dendrobium catenatum
Lineage: Eukaryota; Viridiplantae; Streptophyta; Magnoliopsida; Asparagales; Orchidaceae
Exons: 2
Source: RefSeq, a predicted model, not a curated record